This 61-nucleotide transfer RNA is filed under the name uncultured Roseivirga sp. It matches the Rfam family "tRNA", at positions 8 to 63 of the family's 71-position model. Rfam says of the family: Transfer RNA (tRNA) molecules are approximately 80 nucleotides in length. Their secondary structure includes four short double-helical elements and three loops (D, anti-codon, and T loops). The record is from RNAcentral. Lineage: Bacteria; Pseudomonadati; Bacteroidota; Cytophagia; Cytophagales; Roseivirgaceae.
CAUAGCUCAACAGGUCAGAGUGCCAGUCUUAUAAGCUGGUGGUUCGGGGUUCAAGUCCCCG